Molecule: ribosomal RNA, 440 nt
Filed under: uncultured bacterium
Lineage: Bacteria
Description: partial 16S ribosomal RNA
Rfam family: Bacterial small subunit ribosomal RNA
Source: RNAcentral
CCUACGGGAGGCAGCAGUAGGGAAUAUUGCUCAAUGGGGGAAACCCUGAAGCAGCAACGCCGCGUGGAGGAUGAAGGUUUUCGGAUUGUAAACUCCUUUUGUUAGAGAAGAUAAUGACGGUAUCUAACGAAUAAGCACCGGCUAACUCCGUGCCAGUAGCCGGGGUAAUACGGAGGGUGCAAGCGUUACUCGGAAGCACUGGGCGUAAAGAGGGCGUCGGCGGGUUAGCAAGUCAGAUGUGAAAUCCUAUGGCUUAACCAUAGAACUGCAUUUGAAACUGUUAUUCUAGAGUAUGGGAGAGGUAGGUGGAAUUCUUGGUGUAGGGGUAAAAUCCGUAGAGAUCAAGAGGAAUACUGAUUGCGAAGGCGACCUGCUAGAACGUAACUGACGCUGAUGCGCGAAAGCGUGGGGAGCAAACAGGAUUAGAUACCCCUGUAGUC